Molecule: ribosomal RNA, 497 nt
Filed under: uncultured bacterium
Lineage: Bacteria
Description: partial 16S ribosomal RNA
Rfam family: Bacterial small subunit ribosomal RNA
Source: RNAcentral
GAUGAACGCUGGCGGCGUGCCUAAUACAUGCAAGUCGAGCGAACGGACGAGAAGCUUGCUUCUCUGAUGUUAGCGGCGGACGGGUGAGUAACACGUGGAUAACCUACCUAUAAGACUGGGAUAACUUCGGGAAACCGGAGCUAAUACCGGAUAAUAUUUUGAACCGCAUGGUUCAAAAGUGAAAGACGGUCUUGCUGUCACUUAUAGAUGGAUACGCGCUGCAUUAGCUAGUUGGUAAGGUAACGGCUUACCAAGGCAACGAUGCAUAGCCGACCUGAGAGGGUGAUCGGCCACACUGGAACUGAGACACGGUCCAGACUCCUACGGGAGGCAGCAGUAGGGAAUCUUCCGCAAUGGGCGAAAGCCUGACGGAGCAACGCCGCGUGAGUGAUGAAGGUCUUCGGAUCGUAAAACUCUGUUAUUAGGGAAGAACAUAUGUGUAAGUAACUGUGCACAUCUUGACGGUACCUAAUCAGAAAGCCACGGCUAACUACGCG